CGCGGCUCAGGUUGCGAGGCGGCAGCCCCCGGCCCGCCUCCCCUGCUUCCUGCCCACCUCCCCGGGCGGAGAGCACCGGCCCGGCCGCCUCCUCCGUCCCCUCCCCGUCCCCGUCCCUCUCCCUUCCCUCCCGGCCCCGCUGCCAGGGGCGAAGCCGCCCGCCGGGCCCCGCGGCUUUUUCUCUUGGAUUUUAUUACUGGAAAACUCUCUAAUGACAACUUUGCUUAGGUAAGUGAAGCAAGAUUUUUUCCUGUGGAUUUUUUUAGAAUCACUUCCCCUAUCUUAACU
Molecule: long non-coding RNA, 288 nt
Organism: Parus major (Great Tit)
Lineage: Eukaryota; Metazoa; Chordata; Aves; Passeriformes; Paridae
Source: Ensembl